Molecule: ribosomal RNA, 234 nt
Filed under: uncultured bacterium
Lineage: Bacteria
Description: partial 16S ribosomal RNA
Rfam family: Bacterial small subunit ribosomal RNA
Source: RNAcentral
CGUACGGGUGAGUAACACGUGGAUCAUCUACCUCUUAGUGGGGAAUAACUCUGGGAAAACCGGAGCUAAUACCGCAUAAGCCUGGAAAGGGAAAGCGUUGUCGUAAAAAACGACGCGCUGAGAGAGGAGUCCGCGGCCGAUUAGCUAGUUGGCAGGGUAAAAGCCUACCAAGGCAUUGAUCGGUAGCCGGCCUGAGAGGGCACACGGCCACACUGGCACUGAAACACGGGCCAG